UGGGGAAUUUUGGACAAUGGGCGCAAGCCUGAUCCAGCCAUGCCGCGUGCGGGAAGAAGGCCUUCGGGUUGUAAACCGCUUUUGUCAGGGAAGAAAUCUUCUGAGUUAAUACCUCGGGAGGAUGACGGUACCUGAAGAAUAAGCACCGGCUAACUACGUGCCAGCAGCCGCGGUAAUACGUAGGGUGCAAGCGUUAAUCGGAAUUACUGGGCGUAAAGCGUGCGCAGGCGGUUUUGUAAGACAGAGGUGAAAUCCCCGGGCUCAACCUGGGAACUGCCUUUGUGACUGCAAGGCUUGAGUGCGGCAGAGGGGGAUGGAAUUCCGCGUGUAGCAGUGAAAUGCGUAGAUAUGCGGAGGAACACCGAUGGCGAAGGCAAUCCCCUGGGCCUGCACUGACGCUCAUGCACGAAAGCGUGGGGAGCAAACAGGAUUAGAUACCCUGGUAGUCCACGCCCUAAACGAUGUCAACUGGUUGUUGGGAAGGUUCCUCCUCAGUAACGUAGCUAACGCGUGAAGUUGACCGCCUGGGGAGUACGGCCGCAAGGUUGAAACUUAAAUGAAUUGACGGGGUCA
Molecule: ribosomal RNA, 573 nt
Filed under: uncultured bacterium
Lineage: Bacteria
Description: partial 16S ribosomal RNA
Rfam family: Bacterial small subunit ribosomal RNA
Source: RNAcentral